UGUAUAUUUCAUGAAGGAUUUUUUUCACUUUGUUGCCUGAAAAUCCUCUAUAAUGUAGCAAGCUGUUUUUAUGGAUAAAGCUCGAGUCUAUUCCAUAACAAAUAACUUCCAAUAAUCCUUAUAUCUUACGGCCAAUUCACUAGACAACAUUAUGGCAUCAGCAACCGUUUGUCUGUUUGUUCGUCGCUUGAGAGGAAAAGGUAGCUGUUCCUAGUGCACAGCAGCUUUGUGACCGAAUGGAGAGUACACUUCUCUGUAAUUCUUAGGACGACAGGGAGUCAUGGCAUCAUUUGUCGUCCGCUACAAAAGCGCGGCGUGGAAGUUGGGUGGUCGUUGACAGACUGUCUAGCUGCCAGUACGAGCCGGCACUAAAAGCAGUCGAAGGCGCGCGCGCGCGCGCGCGCCACCAACUGCCACCCGAUCUACUAUUGCUGCUGUUAUUGUGUUUCUGCGAUGCUAGGAAUAUUGCAGACUUUGAUAGCAUUGGCAAGCAUUACCAAAAGUGCCUAACCUUCCGCUAACUUACACGUGUGUGUUGUCGCCAUGGUCUACGAACACCAGCCAUGGCAGAACGGCGACGAUAAUGGCAGCUGUAACUGCAAAUCCACUACGAAAACGUUCGGCUAGUUUUUUGCGUUAUUUUAAUUCUAACACUAUGCCGAUAUAUACACUGAGCAUACGUCGCCGCACCUGUACUCGUAACUACUACUUCUGACACUGUUUAGUAUUGACCAAUACUGCUACUAUUGUUAUUUCUAGCGCUACAUUGUACAUGACACAAAGGCUUUUCAAGUGACUAAUUUUGUUGUUUUUGUAGCACAACAUAGUACCUACGUGUUUGCUGUAUCAGUCUCAAUUUGAAAAACGUCAAUGUGUUCAGUUGUAGAGGCAUGGAUGAAAUCAAGCGUGUUAUGCUGUGGUGUAACUUAUCAUGGCAGGAGAUUUAUCUUUAUGUGUUUAUUUUUAUCAUUAUCUAGAUAUGAAGUAGUAUCAAGGCGUGUGAUCCUUAUAGAUAUCUGAUUUCGAAGACGUCUGCUCUCUACACAGACUUAGGCACAACUCCCCUUCGCCUUUGUCUCUUCUUGAAAGGUUUUAACCCAAAGUAGACAUCGUAAGCUUGGUUUGCGACACGUCGCUGACGGCACUGCCCCACACGGCUGGAAGCCAACGCCAAAUAAAGUGCAUUUAGUUCAGGCUUAGGACCCAGGCCACUGGUAUGGUCUGAUCUGAUCUAAGCUACUCAGUAGCUUGUCUUUGCAGCUGUUGUCAUCUAUGAAGUUUGUUGUGUAUCAGAUUGCCAAGCUAAUUCGUUAACAGCAACGCAGAUAGCAACGAUGUUAUCGAAAACAACAGCUUUAGUAUCAUUAAAACCAGCUAUUAAAGGUGAGAUUGACGCUAGGAAUCGAAACAACACAAGUGUUCGACAAAAUGUGUUCAAUGAUCGAACCAGAAGUGUCUUUAGUGGAAGCGUUUGACUCUCAUACUCCCCCCCAUGAUCAUUAUCAUCAUCGGUCAUGCCCAAAAACAUUUGGUGCUUUGGGAGUACUAAAGGGUAGAAGACGGAACAGCUGCUCACUGCAAGACGCUGGCAGAGGUGCGGGUUCUCACGAUGCUGAAGAAGGCGAAGUCCUGAUGCGGCCAACUGACAAAACGCCAUUAGUAGUCGACUCGGACGCCGAAGAAUGGACUUCGUCAGGAUCUUGCGUAGCAUACUAUUCGCCAACGCUUCACCUUCAACGGGUGGCUUGUACAGUUCUGUUCAUGAUGUGACCUGCGAGUGUGACGCUUAUGGCGCUGCUGCAAAACGAUGCAUGGAUAGCUUAGACGAAAAAGGAAGAGCAUCAAAGGAGCGUAGCGUACGGUCAGCGGUGAUGUCUUCAUUGUUUGUGGUGUCAUUAUGCUUCACUUUGGGCGGCGCCUUUUUGCUAUUCUUCAGUGAGAACAUUUUCACUGUUCUGUGGCCUUCGAUUGGGCUCGUCAUUAUUGGCUCAUCGUUGACCGUUCUUACCGUUAUGCCGGGUGCAGGCCGUUGGAUGGUUAAACAAAUUCAGUUUAUCAAGUCGUCGACUAAGAUGUGUUGGCGGAACAACUUAUGCAGGGAGUACGUUCGCGACUUUAAGAAAAAUACAGCAGAUAUCAUUCGAAUGGAAUCCAAUGAUGAAAGUUAAUAGAUCAUUCAUCGAACGUCUAAACAAGUGCAAUACAUCAUCCUUGAGGAAGCUACACUAUACGCAUAAAGCAUGCAGACCGAACGAUUUCCGUACGUGUACGUGUUGCAUAGUUUAAUAUUUCGUCAUCAUAGUGCCUUUACAUAACAACAAACUCUAAUUUAAUCUAGGUGGACGACGUAAGAUGACAUUGUUGUUGUUAUUACUGUUUUUAUAUGCUAUAUCUAAAGAGCAAUGAAGUCGUGCAUCCACGCAUCACUACAGGACUCUUAAAUUCAGUUUGACACAUUAAAACGGUCGUGGCGGUUGCUUAUUUUUGCCAGUACUAACGAAAUUUGUAAAAUUUUAAGCUGAAGUUUUCAUUUUCAGUGCUAUAAGAACAGUUAUGUUUUAGCCAUUGCAGAGAAAUACACAAUCGUGGCUAAAAAGUGUGCACUGUCUCAUAAAGAAGAAAAAAAAGCGAAGUUCCGUUGCGAUCCUUAUCUUGAGCAUGUAAUGAAAGUUGUACAAAAGUUGGUACCUUUUGUACUUUUUUGUGGACUAAGUGUCAAUUGCGAAACCCAUGUAUAUAUUAAACCCGUCUUAUUGGGCAGCCUGAACAUUAUUUCGUGAAUGGACAAUGCCGGGUGAUGCCGUUACCUGUAAAUAAAAUCUCACUUAGAAUAAGAUAUUUCUGUACGAAUUAUAUGGGUAUUUUUUCUUCUUAAAAAUUCCUACGUAGGACGUUUAACGGUGUCUUCAAAAGCUUCAGAUUUGGCCCGGACACUUCGGCUUAGGUUUACCUGGUUGAAGUCAUGCCGUUGCCAUUAGCGUUAAUUUAUUACCUUGUUGCAUUAGCAGAUUCAUGUUCACCUGGCUUAAUAAUCCGAAUUUUAAGGAACACACUAAGGAUCUUAUUUUGAAAUCGAUGAAAACUGGCUAUUGUUCCCAUUUGAACAAGAUAAUAUAAUGUGCUUAGUGGUAGAUGCGAUUAGAUACACUCACUAUGCGAGCAUAACAACAAGGAAGCAAUUCUUUUUAAAAAGUAAUAAAAUUUAUUCUUUUAUUGUUGUUGAUUCACAUCUAACAAUAAUUGCUGUGUAUUUGAAAAUGAUUAUACUUACUACACAAUCCAAAGUAUAGACGUAUGCGUGUGAGUGUGAGAAUGUACCUAUCCGUAGUCAAGCCGACCGAACUGGGGACUAAAUGAAACUUUCCCAUGCGUUUGAACAUCCCAACCCUUCCUUCCUUUAGCUGAUAAAAACUCCCGAGUAAAAACACUAUCCCCUGUUUCAUAUGGUAAGAACGUAAUUUUGAUAGUUUUUAGUAUCGUGUGAACAUAUCCUAUAGAUAUUAGUUUACUAGUCAUCCGUCUAGACAAUUAAUAUGUGCAGGCUUAAAAACGUCGUUUAAAUUUCUUUUUAUUUCACAGUCUCUAGGUUUGUCGUUUGUUGAUGUUGUUGCUAUUCGAUAUAGUUAUCUUCAUUUUCGUAAUCAUUAGCGUCAUCCUCAGUAAUUUAUAACGUUGAUUCAGUGCUGUUAUGUCGGUUUUAUACCUCCCCAUCAUUGGGCCUCAUAUACAGUUACACAGAUGUGGACGUGUGUUGCUGUUAUAUUCUUUUUCGUUUAUCUUCGUCAUCGUAGCAAAUAGACAAGGAAACGUCAUAUAUAUGUAUAUAUGGGUGGUUUUGUGUGUGUGGGAAAUAUCGAAGCACACUGGAUUAGGAGUCGACUGGCCGGCAUAGAGAAAUCAAAUCUUGUCAUAAUGUGUGAAGCUAGAUCCCUAAUAUUAUAGUUAUGUUACCUCCUAAAGCGCGAUUCAUAUAUGCUACAUAUCCGGAAGAGACAACACAAAAUCCUCAAGCCUAACCAGUCAACCUUAUCUUCAUGCCUUUGUUAAGGAAAUUUUCUUAUGUAUACUUAAGUAAUCAUGUAAAUGUAUUUAUUCAUACUUAUUUUUUGCCAUAUCGUUCUUCUUAUUGUUGCGGUUGUAUAUAUAUAUAUAUAUAUAUAUAUUAUAUAUAUAUAUAUAUAUAUAUAUAUAUAUAUAUUAGCAGCGUCGCAGUGCAUUGCCCACGAUUUGCCAUCGACAUUUUCCAGUUACUGACGUCAUUACUUUAUUGACAUCCUUUUGCUCAUCCUCCACGCCUGUUUCUAUUUGUCAACUUCAACGCUCUUCGACCUCUUUCUCCUGCUGCGCUGCUAUCCCCAUUCCUUUUUCAUUAUCACCGUCGCCAACGAUCUUUCCGCAAAUUCAGUUGAUGGCCUUGUUCGUGUAAAACGAACUUUGCUCUGCUCAGCCUCAUCGUUUUAUCCAUCGAAUAGCUUUGUUUCUCAUUGCGCUCUCCGCACCGUCAUUAUAUUCAUCUCAUGUAUUAUUAUUGUCAUUAUCAAUUUCAUAUCUUAAUAAAAAUUAACAUUCUAUGUGACAUAGUGGGCGGGUGGGGUCACGUAGAAAAGAGACGCGAUGCGUUUAUGGCGACGGCAAACGUUAGUAUAAACAUAUGGGCCGAUCAUCAAUUCAUUGUCGAUCAAGUGGAAAAACUGCGAGUCGCGGAAAGCACCGCGAAGGGGGUGGAGGUACUCAGUUUUACUAAGUAGGUGGAGGACCACAUUUACACGGCCUGCGGUCUACCAAAUAAACCAACCGCAUCAGCAUAGUACAUAGGAAUAAGAAUAAUAACAUAUAUCAUUAUAAUAACUAUAAUGACUUAUUUAUUUAUAAUAUAUAGACGUAAGUUUUAUAUCAAUAAAAUUUUCUAGUAAACCUAAAUGACUCCGCUCAGGAUGUCUCCGCGUCACGCGAUCACAUUACUAUUACAUCAUCAUUGUUGUUGUUGUUGUUGUUGUUGUUGUUGUAGCUGUAGUUGUUGUUUGCACUUGAUUGUGCCUCAACGUUGUUCGGUCAUCAGCCUUGCGAUAUUCUCCCUCGUCUUCUCUAAGUCAUGUCAACAAUCUUUGCGGCCUACGACUGCGCAGGUCUUUACUCAACAUGUCUCUGUCUCAUUAGGCGUGUGUCGCCAGCCAGCGUAACAAAUUACGGUUACCAGUCAGACAAAUCAAUCAACGUAAUGUGCAUAUUCAUCUAACAGGACAACAGUGAGAGCAACCAACCUCCAGUUCACUUAAUGACCCCGCCCCACUGCCGUCCACUUACCAGAAACGGAAUCUUCUUAAUACCUAACAUUCUUUUUUGCAGCAUGUCAUCAUCACCGUGGUGAUGAUAACUAUCAUACUGCACCUUCUUCAUAUCAACUGCAUCUUCUUCGCCCUUAAUCAAGCGCACAAACGUUACUCACUUCUGCUAGUAGUAGAUCGCCGUCAUCACUUGCCGUGGUGAUCGUCAGUAACCGCCGUCCUUUUUUCCACCCCUCUUCGCCAUAAUAUUCUCUCAUUGUAGCUGUAAUAAUUUGUGUGAUCGUUCACCUGUUUUCGGCUGCUUCAGGUAUUCGCCAACAUGCUCAACUGAUCCUAUUCUCAUGAUGUAAUUAUGUCACUCAUGGUCGUAGCUGUUGUGAUAGUUCAUCUUCUACUUCGCUGCAUGCCAGCUACGGUUUCGCUUAGCUUCGUUCCAUCGUAACCAGCCGAAUAUCAUACUCAUUAGUAAUAUCAGCAGCAGCAGCUUGCCAUCCCCAUCAUUAGCAUUUUCAAUCGUAUCGACAUAAGAGGUAAGACAUAGGAAUAAUUUAUUACAUUUAUAUUGAGGUGUCCCUCUAUUUUAUAUUCUUAGCUGUGUUCAUUCAUUGACUUUUUUCUUUCCAGAUAGCAGAUGAACAAAAGUCAGGUGGACGACGUUUGCCAAUUUUCCAAUAUAUGUGUGAUCUUCCGCCAAACCGUUGUGUGUAGUCACAUACUUCCGUGUUUUUUUUUUGCCAAGAAUCUACUGCCUCUAUAAAGGUUCCGUACUUCUAUUAUCAUUGCUUCUAUUUAAAGCAAAGUAACUCUGUGUUAGUAAUCAUAGCCAUAAACACUAGUAAUCGUAUAAAUUUUAUAGUAUGGUUCUUUGUGUCAUGUAUGUAAGUGUCUGUUCAAUGUAGAACUUAUUGUUAUAUUCACGAUAAGAGAAUUUACUUGUUUAUUAGCUUCUUGUCGGUUUGCUCAAAUAUGGUAUCUUUUGAAUAUCCCGCCCAUGCCGCCAAAACGCGGAGCUCUGUGCGCGAUUGGACAGGUAUAUACAACUGAUUAAAAAGAUAUCAGUAAAUCUAAUAAAUUCAAAAUACCUGCGAAAAAGGUAUGCUCUUAUCCGAACAUAUUCUAUAAGGUGAAAAGCGACACCUGGGUGGGACGCGUAAAAACGCCUGUCAAAAUAAAAAAAUUUACAUUCAUGACUAGGUUACCAGCUAGUCGUAAUAUGGAAAAACUUUCCCUUACUAAUGCCAUCAUACGAAUAUCAAUAGGGGAGACCGAAAACGUUUUAAGCAUGACAGGAUUUUUUAGGAUACGUCACCUCUAUCGGUGUCUAUAAUUUCUUGAAUCAGAUAAGACCCAAAAAUAAACAAAAUUUUUUCUAGACUUUAUUUACGUCAUAACUUGAUAGAAAUAGGUAGUUCCAGAAAAAUAUAUUUCCUAAAUAGAGAAGCUUAUUAUUUCUUAAUUGCGUAUAAAACGUGAGCGUGAACAUAAUUAUAUACUCAAAAUAACGAAAGCUGUUUUUUCCAUUUAUAUAUGAAAAUAAUUUAAUUGAAACGGCUAAAAUAGCUAGCUCUUAUGACCCUCGAUACUAAAAUUUUCAUUUUAUACCUUAACUGUUGUUAUCAUUAUUGUCGUUGGUGAGCACUAUGAAGUUCUGGUUGGAACAACGGCGUCUUGUGGGCACCACGAGGACAGAAGACAAGACAACAAAUCAGUAGUAAAAAUCACAUUCAGCCGAAAUAGAAGCAUUCGGCCUCAGUUCAAUCUAUAUUAUGUCUAGUAAUACAAAUUAUAGGCGGGCAGCCUGAAACCGCUCACACUACCAGCAGUUUAUCGAUUCCACAAGGACGUCCGGCGUCCAUUAGAGCUUACUUAUUCUAUAUUCAAGCUCCGUUACAUAUUUCUGAUGAACUCGUCGGUUUGUCUGAGCUUCGUGUAAUAAUCGUGGUACAUGUUUUCAGUUUGUUGUUGUAAUGGAACUGUUCUUUUAUUUCAGGAAGAAUGA
Non-coding RNA from Varroa destructor (honeybee mite), 7284 nucleotides. The record is from RefSeq and is a predicted model, not a curated record. NCBI's taxonomy places the organism in Eukaryota, Metazoa, Arthropoda, Arachnida, Mesostigmata, Varroidae.